Molecule: long non-coding RNA, 478 nt
Organism: Aphis gossypii (cotton aphid)
Lineage: Eukaryota; Metazoa; Arthropoda; Insecta; Hemiptera; Aphididae
Exons: 2
Source: RefSeq, a predicted model, not a curated record
CGUACUGAUAUUAUUUUUAUACACAAUUUAAUAUGUCUAUAUAUUGAAUAAAGCUUUUUGGGCGAUGACUUCGCUGAUUUUCUCAGAAUAUUUAUUUGUUUUUUUCGACAUGUGUUUUUAAUUUAUCUUAUCAUCAGAGUAAUAAUAUAUAAAUAUAUAUUUUUUUUUGUUUACAAACAAUGUAUAGUUUUGUAAAAAUUGAAUGCUUUAUAUUACUUUGUUUUUUUAAAUCAUAAAAAUAAAAAAUAAAUAUAUGAAAUUCAUUGAAUGGAUCCCUCCGAAAGUAUAAAUUGUAUAAAUUAAGCAAGAUGAAAAAAUUUGGCAACACACACACAAUAUUUACGAGACGAACACGGUGAUCUAAAUUUAUCAAAAGUACAAAUGUUUAUUUAAACGACUUCAUCUACUGAACCUAACAUAAUAUCGUAUAUGCCAGAAAAUAAUAAAAUAAAAUAAAAUAAUUCAAAUGCAUAGAUUA